AGAACAGAUAGAAAGAAUUAGAUCACAUCACGUUCUUUCCCCAAGCUCCCUCCUUUCUGUCUUUUAUUUGUAUUUUUUCCUUCUCUUCUCUUUUCAUU
Molecule: non-coding RNA, 98 nt
Filed under: Chromera velia
Lineage: Eukaryota; Chromeraceae
Source: RNAcentral